Molecule: ribosomal RNA, 590 nt
Filed under: uncultured bacterium
Lineage: Bacteria
Description: bacterial SSU rRNA
Rfam family: Bacterial small subunit ribosomal RNA
Source: RNAcentral
UCCUACGGGAGGCAGCAGUAGGGAAUCUUCCGCAAUGGAUGAAAGUCUGACGGAGCAACGCCGCGUGAGUGAUGAAGGCUUUCGGGUCGUAAAACUCUGUUGUUAGGGAAGAACAAGUGCUAGUUGAAUAAGCUGGCACCUUGACGGUACCUAACCAGAAAGCCACGGCUAACUACGUGCCAGCAGCCGCGGUAAUACGUAGGUGGCAAGCGUUAUCCGGAAUUAUUGGGCGUAAAGCGCGCGCAGGUGGUUUCUUAAGUCUGAUGUGAAAGCCCACGGCUCAACCGUGGAGGGUCAUUGGAAACUGGGAGACUUGAGUGCAGAAGAGGAAAGUGGAAUUCCAUGUGUAGCGGUGAAAUGCGUAGAGAUAUGGAGGAACACCAGUGGCGAAGGCGACUUUCUGGUCUGUAACUGACACUGAGGCGCGAAAGCGUGGGGAGCAAACAGGAUUAGAUACCCUGGUAGUCCACGCCGUAAACGAUGAGUGCUAAGUGUUAGAGGGUUUCCGCCCUUUAGUGCUGAAGUUAACGCAUUAAGCACUCCGCCUGGGGAGUACGGCCGCAAGGCUGAAACUCAAAGGAAUUGACGGA